CCCAGGUCAGCGAUCUGACAAAAAUGAAACAAGGUCAUUAACGAUUAAAUUAGACAUUUUUAAAUGGACCUACAUGAAUGUUUAUGUUCAUUGAGGAGCAUAUGGUAAACAUGAAUACGGUCUAAUUACUUCUGUGAUUUGGUUACUUCUAACACUUACCUCUAGGGGGAGGUUGCUCGGUGGCGGUUUUCCUCCCCUUUCCUCUGGGCUUGCUGGUGUUCAGGAUCACGGCAGAGCCAGAGGUGACUGUGUAUGAACUGAUGGCAGGAUGUGGUCUUCGCAUCAGGAAGCAGAACCAGAGAUUAUUAGAGAUUCUCACUGUGGAUUUGAGAAAGGAAAUGUGCAAGAUGAGUCAGGACUACAUGGAAGCCAUCAAAAACUACUAUGGUAUGUUAAAAAAAAAUAGGUUACCCAAAUAA
This 419-nucleotide long non-coding RNA is filed under the name Callithrix jacchus (white-tufted-ear marmoset). RNAcentral describes it as "lncRNA (ENSCJAG00000086145.1)". Lineage: Eukaryota; Metazoa; Chordata; Mammalia; Primates; Cebidae. The record is from RNAcentral.